UGGGAGCGCGCCUCAAUGGCAUUGAGGAGGUCGGGGGUUCGAAUCCCCCCAGGUCCACCA
Molecule: transfer RNA, 60 nt
Filed under: Dehalococcoidia bacterium
Lineage: Bacteria; Bacillati; Chloroflexota; Dehalococcoidia
Description: tRNA-Ser
Rfam family: tRNA
About the family: Transfer RNA (tRNA) molecules are approximately 80 nucleotides in length. Their secondary structure includes four short double-helical elements and three loops (D, anti-codon, and T loops).
Source: RNAcentral